RNAcentral lists this unclassified non-coding RNA (325 nucleotides) under soil metagenome. RNAcentral describes it as "partial contains 5.8S ribosomal RNA, internal transcribed spacer 2, and large subunit ribosomal RNA". The stretch from base 1 to 120 matches the Rfam family "5.8S ribosomal RNA", at positions 35 to 154 of the family's 154-position model. The record is from RNAcentral.
GAUGAAGAACGUAGUGAAAUACGAUAAGUAAUGUGAAUUGCAGAAUUCAGUGAAUCAUCGAAUCUUUGAACGCACAUUGCGCCCCUUGGUAUUCCGGGGGGCAUGCCUGUUCGAGCGUCAUUAUAACCCUCAAGCCUAGCUUGGUGUUGGAGCAUGCUACCUAAGCAGCUCUUAAAAUCAGUGGCAGUGCCCUUCGGCUCUAAGCGUAGUAACUUCUCUCGCUAUGGAACCCGGAGGGUACGCGCCAGAACCCCCAACUUUCUAUGGUUGACCUCGGAUCAGGUAGGGAUACCCGCUGAACUUAAGCAUAUCAAUAAGCGGAGGA